RNAcentral lists this ribosomal RNA (353 nucleotides) under uncultured Streptococcus sp. RNAcentral's name for it is "bacterial SSU rRNA". It matches the Rfam family "Bacterial small subunit ribosomal RNA", at positions 1161 to 1514 of the family's 1533-position model. Lineage: Bacteria; Bacillati; Bacillota; Bacilli; Lactobacillales; Streptococcaceae. The record is from RNAcentral.
AACUGGAGGAAGGUGGGGAUGACGUCAAAUCAUCAUGCCCCUUAUGACUGGGCUACACACGUGCUACAAUGGCUGGUACAACGAGUCGCGAGUCGGUGACGACAAGCUAAUCUCUUAAAGCCAGUCUCAGUUCGGAUUGUAGGCUGCAACUCGCCUACAUGAAGUCGGAAUCGCUAGUAAUCGCGGAUCAGCACGCCGCGGUGAAUACGUUCCCGGGCCUUGUACACACCGCCCGUCACACCACGAGAGUUUGUAACACCCGAAGUCGGUGAGGUAACCAUUUGGAGCCAGCCGCCUAAGGUGGGAUAGAUGAUUGGGGUGAAGUCGUAACAAGGUAGCCAGGAUCAAACUCU